RNAcentral lists this transfer RNA (74 nucleotides) under Acidobacteria bacterium 13_1_20CM_3_53_8. RNAcentral describes it as "tRNA-Pro". It matches the Rfam family "tRNA". Rfam says of the family: Transfer RNA (tRNA) molecules are approximately 80 nucleotides in length. Their secondary structure includes four short double-helical elements and three loops (D, anti-codon, and T loops). The record is from RNAcentral. Lineage: Bacteria; Pseudomonadati; Acidobacteriota. RNAcentral also lists the same sequence under 2 other names.
CGGGGCGUGGCUCAGCCUGGUAGAGCAUUCGGUUUGGGACCGAAGGGUCGGAGGUUCAAAUCCUCUCGCCCCGA